AACUGAAACAUCUAAGUACCCCGAGGAAAAGAAAUCAACCGAGAUUCCCCCAGUAGCGGCGAGCGAACGGGGAGGAGCCCAGAGCCUGAAUCAGUGUGUGUGUUAGUGGAAGCGUCUGGAAAGGCGCGCGAUACAGGGUGACAGCCCCGUACACAAAAAUGCACACAUUGUGAGCUCGAUGAGUAGGGCGGGACACGUGGUAUCCUGUCUGAAUAUGGGGGGACCAUCCUCCAAGGCUAAAUACUCCUGACUGACCGAUAGUGAACCAGUACCGUGAGGGAAAGGCGAAAAGAACCCCGGCGAGGGGAGUGAAAAAGAACCUGAAACCGUGUACGUACAAGCAGUGGGAGCCUCUUAAUGGGGUGACUGCGUACCUUUUGUAUAAUGGGUCAGCGACUUAUAUUCUGUAGCAAGGUUAACCGAAUAGGGGAGCCGAAGGG
This 440-nucleotide ribosomal RNA is filed under the name Escherichia coli. Its description in RNAcentral is "partial 23S ribosomal RNA". It matches the Rfam family "Bacterial large subunit ribosomal RNA", at positions 191 to 673 of the family's 2925-position model. Lineage: Bacteria; Pseudomonadati; Pseudomonadota; Gammaproteobacteria; Enterobacterales; Enterobacteriaceae. The record is from RNAcentral.